GUGCCAGCAGCCGCGGUAAUACGAAGGGGGCUAGCGUUGCUCGGAAUUACUGGGCGUAAAGCGCACGUAGGCGGAUUGUUAAGUCGGGGGUGAAAUCCUGGAGCUCAACUCCAGAACUGCCUUCGAUACUGGCGAUCUCGAGUUCGGGAGAGGUGAGUGGAACUGCGAGUGUAGAGGUGAAAUUCGUAGAUAUUCGCAAGAACACCAGUGGCGAAGGCGGCUCACUGGCCCGAUACUGACGCUGAGGUGCGAAAGCGUGGGGAGCAAACAGGAUUAGAUACCCCAGUAGUCC
RNAcentral lists this ribosomal RNA (292 nucleotides) under uncultured bacterium. Its description in RNAcentral is "partial 16S ribosomal RNA". It matches the Rfam family "Bacterial small subunit ribosomal RNA", at positions 505 to 796 of the family's 1533-position model. The record is from RNAcentral.